This is a long non-coding RNA of Danio rerio (zebrafish), 5309 nucleotides long. Lineage: Eukaryota; Metazoa; Chordata; Actinopteri; Cypriniformes; Danionidae. The record is from Ensembl.
UCCUCGUCUCCUUCAGCCGUGUCCUUCAUGAAAAUGAAUAUUAGCAAAACAUAAGACACAGUCAGCAAUGAUGUAGUCAUUUACUGGAAACAUGACACCCAAAAAGCACACAUCAUGAUUGUUUUGUCGAAGUUAUACCUCCGGGGUUUUGUGAAUGAGGAUUCCUCACGCGCUCCCUUCAGUGCUGAUUUGCGCGCGCUCUCGGUGGUGACGGGCAGAGAGUGGCGCGGCGUCCUUACGCUACCUUGAGAGGGGGGAAAAGGAUGCGAAAAACCGUUUUUCAGGUCAGCACGGGGUGAGAUUCGCUUAAUCCGACCCUCGUUACCAUCCUCAACGCGUUCAGCUUUGAAUCUCCCACCCCCAGGAUAGAAAAAUUGACGCGCGUGUUUGAGGAAAAUGCUGACGCGUUGACGGCAUGUUUGAUCGGCUCGUCGACUGCUGAGGGAUAUUAUUAUUACUCUUAAGGACUUUUUGUGGACUAGAACGAUCGUCUUGGGUGACCUUUUUCAUAUGGAAACUCUUUCUUUGAGAAUGACAUGAAUUUGGGGGUUUUAAUAAGACGAAUGCAAAGGACGAAUAGAUAUAACCUGCUGAGGGAUAUAUUUAUCGACGACUUUUUAUGAACGUCGUAAAGAUCGCAUUUAGUCUAUGUGGGACUACUUUUUCCUCCGGGAAGGCUGUUUUUUGUUAUAAAUAGACGUUCAUUUGAAAUCAGCCAGGUAAAUAGCCUGCUGAUGAACUGUAUGAGGAAACAGGCAUGUGGAUAAACUGAACGGGACUUCAGCAAGAGUUUGGCGCAUCUACAUCCACUGGUGAUGCCGGAGGUCACUUCCACUAGAAGCGACAGGCUAGCAUCCAAAGGCAUUAUGUUUUUAUGCAACACCACAGCCAUCAAGGACUGGAGCUACUUUCUCUCUCAGAUCUUGCCUCUUGUGAAUAAAUCAGCGGGGUUUGUCCAUCAGAGUAUGGAUCGGGUGGAGGCGGUGACGAGCACUAUGGUGACCGCUCUGGAGCCCGACCUGAGCGGGAUGAGCGCCAGUCAUCCGCCGCUGAACUCCAAUCACACGUCCGGAAUGGAGCAUGUUUUUCAGUACUCGUACUCGGAGGGUGACCUGCAGUACACGGACUACAGGACGCCCCAGAGGGACUCGAUACCGCUGCCCAAAGCGGUGCUCUAUCUGGUCAUGGCUGCGCUGGUGGUGGUGGCGGUGGCGUACGCGAUUGUGGGACAUCUGGUAAAGGAUCUCGUGCAUGAGUUUGUGGAAUGGGUGUUUGGUCCUCGUUCAGAAAACCACCGCAGGAGCAAGAGUGAGGUGAACUGCAUCAGCAGCAGCGUGAAUGAAAUGAACGAUCUCUCACAUGCACCGGAAACACUCUGUAUCACUUAUAAUCACUCCAUGAAGCCUGAAGAACUGGUGGUGACCAUCGACGAGACUUCGCCGAUGCCUCAAGAAGCCUACGCCGGGACAUAAGCAAGAGGAAAAAAAACACUGCGAAUCGAUUCAGCCCUUUAUUAUGAGGAGAAAAGCACAUUUGCUUCAGUUUGAGGUGUCGAAAAGCGACGCUGUGAAGUCAAACCAAUGGAGAAACUGAGGAGUCUAGCGGAUAAAGUACACUUGGAGCUCUGUGAGAGACACGUUAUAUUUUCAGAUUGAAUUUAUAACCCUGAGAAAGACUUCUUUAUCAUUCGCAUCAGUGUAAUCGCUCAGUAUUUUCUGUUAUUUGUUCAGUGGAGACAUGCACUGUGAAUCCUAGAAGUAGUUUGCUGCUCGCAAUCCAUUUUUUUCUUCUACAUGGUUUUGUUUUUCUACACUUUUGCGCAUAUUUAUGGCUGAGUGCUUUAUAGUAUUUGCGAAUACUCACGUUUAAACCACUUUGAGGUUCUGCUUGAAACUAGAUCUGCUCCCUGUAGGUUACUUGAAAAGUCUGGUAAUAAGGAAGAUUUAGAUAUAACAGCCCUUGAUGAUGAAAAAAAUCUAUAUUUAAUCUACAAAGGCAAAACAAGAGCUGUCCUUUUACUUUUAUCUAAGGCAGUGUUACCAAAAAUAGGUUUAUAUUGAAAAGAGACACUACACAGGCACCUAUCACUGAAAUUAUACAUAUAUAUUAUACAUACAUAUAAAUUAUACAUACAUAUAUAUAUAUAGUAUGAUAAUAUAUAUGGUGCACAGCAUAAAUGGGUACACCCCUUUUGAAAAUUACAAAAAAACUUAAGCAUUAUAUUAUAUAAUAUAUCAAUUAAAUGGCAGCACAGUGGCUAGUGUAAUGCCGCCACCCAACCCACUCCGAGCUGGUAUUGAACCGGCUACCUUUCGCAUGGUAGUCGGUUGCUCUACCAAGGAGGAUAAAGACCAUGGCCUCUAGAGCACCUUUCGAGGUCAGAGGAGUGAGGUUUACCUGCACAGCACUUACUAGCUGGCCUCUGCUUCACUCACCCCCCUAAACCUCACUCCCAUCCGGGUCACGGCACCAAUAAAAUGCAGCCAGUUCUACACCACCCAACCCGCUCCGAGCUGGUAUCAAACCGGCGACCUUCCGCACUAGAAUCGGUUGGUGAUGUUUACCUGCACAGCACUUACUAGUUGGCCUCUGCUACACUCACUCCCCUAAACCUCACUCCCAUCCGGGUCACGGCACCAAUAAAAUGCAGCCAGUUCUACACAACCCAACCCGCUAUCGAACCGGCGACCUUCCGCACUAGAGUCGGUUGGUGAGGUUUACCUGCACAGCACUUACGAGCUGGCCCCUGCUACACUAGCUCUGUUGCUCACAGCAAGAAGGUCACUGGUUCGAGUACUGGCUGUGCCAGUUGGCAUUUCUGUGUGGAGUUUGCAUGUUCUCCCCUUGUUGGUUUGGGUUUCCUCCGGGUGCUCCGGUUUCCCCCACAGUCCAAGCACAUACACUACAGGUCAAUUGAAUAAACUAAAUUGGUUGUAAUGUAUGAGUGUGAAUGAGUGUUUCCCAGUACUGGGUUGCAGCUGGAAGGGUAUCCGCUGCAUAAAACAUAUGCUGGAAUAGUUGGUGGUUUAUUUUACCGUGGUGACCUCUGACAUAGAGACUAAGCUGAAGGUGAAAUUUUUUACACCUCUGGUUGUUUUGUUAUUUUCCAUUUUGGCUUUGACUAAUGUAUAUAAACAAAACAUCUUAUCAUUUACAAAGUAUGGUAACACUUUAGUUUAUGUCAUAUUUCACACCCUUUAAUGAAUUAUUAACUGACUAUUAUUGAGAUUUUAACUGUUGUAAAGUAUGAUCUUAUUUUAUAUCUCAAGUCAUACCCAAUACCUAAACUACUAACCUAAUAACUAUAAAUUAGCAGCUAACUAGCAUUUUAUUGAGCUAUAAGUCUUAGUUAAUGGUUUGUUAAUAGCGUUAAUUGUACAUUAAAAUGAAGUGUGACUGAAAGUAUUAAAAUAAAAGGUGUAAAAGAGGUGUACUCAUUUAUACUGAGCACUGUAUGUAUAUAUAUAUAUAUAUAUAUAUAUAUAUAUAUAUAUAUAUAUAUAUAUAUAUAUAUAUAUAUAUCUCAGUUGAAUAUGAUCUUUUAUAAUAGAUUUAAGUGUUAGCAGGUGAUCUGAAAAGACUCAUAUCUUGUUUACGUCACUGAUAAUAAAGGGCUAUAAUUUCAGGUAGUCAUCGUUAUGAAGCUUCGUAACUAAGCAACACAUGAACUGAUAUUUUAAACUAUAAUGUGCAAAAAAGGGGGUAGUUUACAGAUUUAAGCUUCAUGGUUAUUACAAACUAUCGGAAAUAAGAUUGUCAGAUAUUUUCACCAACAACUGAAAAAAACUAAAACUACCGGCAAUUGAUCUGAUUAGUCUAAAUCAGGAGUGUCAAACUCAGUUCCUGGAGGGCCGCAGCCCUGCACAGUUUAGUUUCAAUCCUGCUCCAACACACUAACCUGUAGGUUUCAAACAAGCCUGAAGGACUCAGGCUUAAUUUGAUCAGGUGUGUUUGAUUAGGGUUAAAGCUAAACUGUGCAGACCUGUGGCCCUCCUGGAACUAAGUUUGACACCUGUGGUCUAAAUCAACCACUUUUUUUAAUCUUUGUUGCCAAAGUGUAAUUGUUAUGUGUCACAUAUUCAUAAAAAUGCUAAAUCAUUCAGUUGUAAUCCACAACCCAGGCUCAUUCUAAUAUACCCCUAUAUACAUAGAGAGCGCCAAAUAUGUCCCAGGAGCUACGUUUUUAGCAGUUUUUGAUUUUGCGAAUCCACCAGAGACCACUGUGUGCGCUUUUUGAGAUCUAAUAUUUCUCUUGCGAGUGCCAUUUGUGCCUGCUGUUCUCACAUAAAUCCACCAGAGGCUGCUCUCAACUGACUGACUGAUCGACUGACCCACCCUCUUCCUUUCCUAAACUAAACCGAUGGUGUUUUCAAAAGCACUGAUUGACCCGCCCACCCACGUCCCUGAACCCAACCAACAGUGUUUUCAAAAGCAACGAUUAAUUUGCCUACUGACGUCUCUGAACCCAACCAACAGUUUUUUCAAAAGCACUGAUUAAUUCGCCCACUACCUUCCCUAAACCCAACCGACAGUGUUUUUAAAAGCACCGAAUAAUUUGGCCACCCACUUCCCUGAACCCAACCGACAGUGUUUUCAAAAGUACUGAUUAAUUCGCCCACUACCUUCCCUAAACCCAACCGAUAGUGUUUUCAAAAGCACCAAUUGACUCCCCCACCACCUUCCCUAAACCCAACCGAUAAUGUUUUCAAAAGCACAGAUUGACCCACCCACCCACUUCCCUAAACCCAACCCAAAGUGUUUUUAAAAGCACCGAUUGACCCGUUGAUCCACUUCCUUAAACCCAACCGACAUUGUUUUCAAAAGCACAGAUUUAGUUUUUUUUUUUCUGCUUUCUGGACCCGGUCUUUGCUGGACUCGAACCCUGUCAGUAUGUCACAAGUUCACCAUUUUACACGGCAAGCUACUGGACAAACUGGUAACAGCAGGAAAGCCAUCCAUACAGAGGUAAUCGGUCAGCUGGUAAGCGUGAAUAUGAACUGCAUCAUACCACCAUGUAGUGUUUGUUUUAAAGAUGAAAUGCAGCUAUAUGUACUUCUGGCUACAUAAUUCGUGAUCUCCACAAAUGUAUUUAGGGCUACGUUUUCAGAAUGAGCCUGUGUUGGUAAUUUAUGUGUCCAGUCAUGCCAUGUAAACAAUGUUUGAAACUUACAAAGGUUGUAAAAAAAAACUCACACACAAAAGAUGUGUUUUCCUUUUGUUCAUGUCAUGUCCUGCUUUUUACACAAAGUCACCUUAAUAAAUAUGACAGUAUGUCAAUUUGAUCUAAAACAACUUUUACUUGGCCUUUU